This 491-nucleotide ribosomal RNA is filed under the name uncultured bacterium. RNAcentral describes it as "bacterial SSU rRNA". It matches the Rfam family "Bacterial small subunit ribosomal RNA", at positions 791 to 1283 of the family's 1533-position model. The record is from RNAcentral.
UAGUCCACGCCGUAAACGAUGGAUACUAGCUGUUUGGACUUCGGUCUGAGUGGCUAAGCGAAAGUGAUAAGUAUCCCACCUGGGGAGUACGUUCGCAAGAAUGAAACUCAAAGGAAUUGACGGGGGCCCGCACAAGCGGUGGAGCAUGUGGUUUAAUUCGAUGAUACGCGAGGAACCUUACCAGGGCUUAAAUGUAGAUUGACAGGUUUAGAGAUAGACUUUUCUUCGGACAAUUUACAAGGUGCUGCAUGGUUGUCGUCAGCUCGUGCCGUGAGGUGUCAGGUUAAGUCCUAUAACGAGCGCAACCCCUGUGGUUAGUUGCCAGCGAGUAGUGUCGGGAACUCUAGCCAGACUGCCAGUGCAAACUGUGAGGAAGGUGGGGAUGACGUCAAGUCCUCAUGGCCCUUGAUGCCUAGGGGCUACACACGUGCUACAAUGGGUUGAUACAAAGAGUAGUGAAGCCGUAAGGGUGAAACCAAUCUCAAAAAAUC